Rosa rugosa (rugosa rose) is the source of this 1820-nucleotide long non-coding RNA. RefSeq lists it as uncharacterized. The record is from RefSeq and is a predicted model, not a curated record. The transcript is spliced from 2 exons. Lineage: Eukaryota; Viridiplantae; Streptophyta; Magnoliopsida; Rosales; Rosaceae.
AGGCAUGGAAAUAAAUUCUGAAAUUUUACCAAAAUGAUCUACACUCAUGGUAGAUCAUUUCAUAUGAAGAAGUCACGAGCCAAAUCUGAAGUCUUGUUGGAGAAAUAAUUGAAGGAAUAAAGGGGCAGAAACUGAUCUAAAAACAGCUCAACACCACAUGUUCAAGUUUCCUACCCACAUGAAGAAAGCUAGAUGCUUUUCUCUUUUUCCUUGGAUAUAUUUUUCUGCUCCAAUAGAUCAUCAUCACUUCCAUACUUCUGCACCUUCAUGCCUUGCUUUCAUUUCAUCAUUACUCCAUCUUUUCCAUAUUUUACAAACCACUUUCAUUAUUUUUCUUCCAUUUAUCAUUUCACUCUUCUUUUUCUUCCCUAUAUAAACACCUUCUCCUCUCACUCUAACGACAUUCCUUCAUCCAUUCCAUCUUCUUUGUCUCUCCAUUUCCUUUCCAUUUUCCUUUCCAACAUCCUCUAGGGCAAGCCACGAAGUUCAAGCAAGGCCAAGGAAGAGAAGAACCAAGCCGUGAGCAUCAUCAUCCAUCCUCCACCUUUGAAGCUUGCUUUCGAGUCUCAAAGGAUUCAACGUUAUUCACCCAUCUUCAUCUUCCAUCCACGGUGUACCCUCAAUCCCCGGAAUAGAACGAUCCCUACUUGCUUAUACUACUAAUGAUAUUUAUAGGGUUAAAUUAUGCGCUUGCUUUGAGCGUAUCAAUUUUUGGCGCCGUUGCCGGGGAUUGAAAAAUCACUUGUUUUUGUUUAUAAUUGUUGUAUAUAAACUGUUUGAUACUUAGUUUAAAUUAACUAGGUUGUUUUUUUUUAUUGUUGAAUACGAGUUUAAUUGUGAGUUGUAAAUUAAAGAAGGAAUAGGUGAAGUCGUGUUUAUUAAUAUUGGCCUAAACCCCUUAUUGGUACCUAGUUCAGGUCCCUUAAUGUUGAGGGCGGCCUUUAUUAACAUUCAUUGAACUGUCUAACACACUUAGGACCUUUUACAUCCUAGUAAGAAUAUCCUAUGUGAGAUGGUGUCUAGGAAGGGGAUAACGUUCAUGACGGGUUUUUGAAUCCAGAUCGAAGUGCAUAUAAAUGGGCUUAGCUCAUGCCAAAAUGGAUUUUUCCUCUCGUGUUCACCCUCCCCUACCUGGCCAUUUCAGUAAGGUUGCCCAACGGAUGUAGGAGGGACUUUGUGUCUAGACGACUAUAUUUGGGCCGCACGUCCACUUGAUUUACCGCUUGGAAUUAGAUUUGAUAUCAAUAAUGUUUAUAACAAAAGAAAUACUUGUGCAUACUCUUUACGUGUAAAUUAUUUUGUUGUUUCACACUUUAUACUUGUAAAAAUACUUUUUUUUACGUUUUAUACUCACUUGUAUACUUAACUUGUGUCUUAUGUACAAAAUACUUGUUAAUUAUACUUGUAGUUUGUAAUUCAUAGUUACUUGUUUAUUUUUUUUGUAUUUCUUUGUUAAUAUUAAGUUACUAACUUUAUUUAAUGUAGGUACCGUCUGGCUGCAAGACGUAAAAUACAAGCGCUGCUUGGGAGGCAACCCAAUUCAGAAUAUAAUCAGAUUUGCUUUCUCUUCCCCUUUUACUCCUCCAUUUUCUUUUUGUUUUAGUAGUUAUUUUCGUAAAUUUCAUCCCUAUAUGCUUACUUAUUUCAUUGCAUGCUUUUAAUUGAUUACAUUGAGGAUAAUGCAAUAUUUAAGUGUGGGGGAAGGGAUUUAUAUUUUUGUCUUUCAUUUUGAAUCCUAUAAAUAUUUUUGUCUUUCAUUUUGAGUCCUAUAAAUAUUUUUGAGUCCUAUAUUUUAAAAAAAAAAAAAAUAAUAAUAAUAA